AUUGAACGCCGGCGGCAGGCUUAACACAUGCAAGUCGAGCGGGGGAAGGUAGCUUGCUACCGGACCUAGCGGCGGACGGGUGAGUAAUGCUUAGGAAUCUGCCUAUUAGUGGGGGACAACAUCUCGAAAGGGAUGCUAAUACCGCAUACGUCCUACGGGAGAAAGCAGGGGAUCUUCGGACCUUGCGCUAAUAGAUGAGCCUAAGUCGGAUUAGCUAGUUGGUGGGGUAAAGGCCUACCAAGGCGACGAUCUGUAGCGGGUCUGAGAGGAUGGUCCGCCACACUGGGACUGAGACACGGCCCAGACUCCUACGGGAGGCAGCAGUGGGGAAUAUUGGACAAUGGGGGGAACCCUGAUCCAGCCAUGCCGCGUGUGUGAAGAAGGCCUUAUGGUUGUAAAGCACUUUAAGCGAGGAGGAGGCUACUUUAGUUAAUACCUAGAGAUAGUGGACGUUACUCGCAGAAUAAGCACCGGCUAACUCUGUGCCAGCAGCCGCCGUAA
Molecule: ribosomal RNA, 501 nt
Filed under: uncultured bacterium
Lineage: Bacteria
Description: partial 16S ribosomal RNA
Rfam family: Bacterial small subunit ribosomal RNA
Source: RNAcentral